Molecule: long non-coding RNA, 472 nt
Organism: Erigeron canadensis
Lineage: Eukaryota; Viridiplantae; Streptophyta; Magnoliopsida; Asterales; Asteraceae
Exons: 3
Source: RefSeq, a predicted model, not a curated record
CGAAAUUAUCAAGAGAAAAGGGGGAGAAGAAAUUGAGAUUUCAAGUGUUAAUUUAAUCUUAUAUUCCUUUGAGGUUGAAAGCUUGAAUUUGUUGCUAUUGCGGUUAUCUUGGUUGUUAUUGUGUCGCGAAGGAGGUGGUUCUGGAAGAAGGAACUAGGUUUGCUUGUCUCGAAGAAUAAAGAACGAAGUUGCUAGGGAUUGUAGAUAGUUGGAAGGUAUCUUGGCUAUUCUCGGAAGAAUAGCAUGAUUUGGUUAGAAACCUAGUUGUCCCUCUUGACAUUGGCUCAUGGUACAUUUUGGUUGUUAUUGGCCAUAUUUUGAUAUGUUUUGUAAAUGGCCAUGUUCAUGUCUUUUGGAGUUGAUAAGGAUAGUUGGUUUGGUUGUAGCAUGUCAAAUGGGUAAUCGACCCAUAUAGUUGCGUGGUCGAUCAUGGAUCAAACUAAUUUGACAAAUAUGAAUGUUUUCGGGUUAA